RNAcentral lists this long non-coding RNA (1165 nucleotides) under Astyanax mexicanus (Mexican tetra). Its description in RNAcentral is "lncRNA (ENSAMXG00005019282.1)". The record is from RNAcentral. Lineage: Eukaryota; Metazoa; Chordata; Actinopteri; Characiformes; Acestrorhamphidae.
GAAACUUGCAACUUGUCUUCCCAGCUGAGUUUUGCAACAGUUUUUCUUUAAAACAUCAUCAGCUGGUCAGUUUCAGUUCACACGCUCUGAGACAUGGAUAAAAGAGUGAUCUGUUGUUGUGUUAUUAUUCACAGUUCCCAGAUACUUAGAUCAGCACUCUCUUCUCUACUCUCACUCCUCUUAUUCCUCUCACUCCAGCCUCUCAGGUCAGAAUUAGUGCUUGAGGUUGUAGGAAAAUAACGAUAAAACUUUGAUCUGCACAAAGGUAAGGUCAGUCAUUCCCCACCUUUCUGACUCUGAGGGGCUGUGGUCUGAUGUUCUGCUUUCAGAAACCCACUUCCUCUAUCUUCAGACUCUCUGGGGCACUGCUAGAAUUCAGCAGUAGUUCUCUUUACUAGCGCAGCACAGCCUGAGACCUGAGAGACAGGUUUAUUCACUCGCUCUGGGAUCCGGGGAAUGACAUUGUUAUGGCGCUUCUUCAGACUGGGGUUCUGCAUCUGGGUCCCUGCAUUAUCGUCAUGCUGCUGACUUGUGGAGAUUUUUCAAAUUCAAAUAAGCUGAAAAUAGGUCACUGGAUAAACGAAACUGCGGAUGAGGGUGAAACUGUUGUUUUAUACUGUAAUGGAAGUUAUGAUAGUGGAGAAGAUUUUGUUUGGCGUAAGGAUGGGAAUCUUCUUUUUAUCUACAGCCCCUUUAUUAACCAAACUGUAUCAAACUACACAUCAAGUAGUAUGAGUGUAGAUCCCAGAGAUCCACGGAAACUACAGAUAUCUAACGUUCAGCCUUCAGAUUCAGGAACCUAUAUAUGCACCCCAUCAAGAAUUAUAUGGAUUCUGACCAUCAAUGGCACACAUAAUAAUAUUCCAGGAUAUUUAAAAAAAACGAUCCUGUACACGGUCUCCUCAGCUGCAGGAGCUGUUGCAGUAUUCUGUAUUAUCCUCUGCACUGUGUGGAUUCACAGAAAAUGCAAAACAAGAACCAGGAAAAAUGAAGUUGAGCUUCAGCAGCCACAUGGAAGAAGAAUGGACAACGUUCAGGACAGACAGUAUUUUGAGAGAUUUAAUUCUUUAUAUGGACAAAUUGUCUCAUGAACCUGGUAAGCACUUUUUACGUGUUAAUGCUUUAAAAUAUUGCAUAUAUAAAGAGAUAGGAAAGCUCUUAUAAG